Molecule: ribosomal RNA, 488 nt
Filed under: uncultured bacterium
Lineage: Bacteria
Description: bacterial SSU rRNA
Rfam family: Bacterial small subunit ribosomal RNA
Source: RNAcentral
GAUGAACGCUAGCUACAGGCUUAACACAUGCAAGUCGAGGGGCAGCAUGAACAUAGCUUGCUAUGUUUGAUGGCGACCGGCGCACGGGUGCGUAACACGUAUCCAAUCUACCCAUGGCUCGGGGAUAGCCUUCUGAAAGGAAGAUUAAUACCCGAUGGGAUGCAUUUCCGGCAUCGGAGAUGCAUUAAAGAUUUAUCGGUGACGGAUGAGGAUGCGUACGAUUAGCUUGUUGGCGGGGUAACGGCCCACCAAGGCAACGAUCGUUAGGGGUUCUGAGAGGAAGGUCCCCCACAUUGGAACUGAGACACGGUCCAAACUCCUACGGGAGGCAGCAGUGAGGAAUAUUGGUCAAUGGACGCAAGUCUGAACCAGCCAUGUCGCGUGAAGGAUGACUGUCCUAUGGAUUGUAAACUUCUUUUAUACGGGAAUAAAACCUCCCACGUGUGGGAGCUUGUAUGUACCGUAUGAAUAAGCAUCGGCUAACUCCG